UACAGAGGUCUCAAGCGUUGUCCGGAUUUACUGGGCGUAAAGAGCGCGCAGGCGGUCGAUCAAGUCGAGUGUGAAAGCCCCCGGCUCAACUGGGGAGGGUCACGCGAUACUGAUCGACUCGAAGGCAGGAGAGGGUAGUGGAAUUCCCGGUGUAGUGGUGAAAUGCGUAGAUAUCGGGAGGAACACCAGUGGCGAAGGCGACUACCUGGCCUGUUCUUGACGCUGAGGCGCGAAAGCUAGGGGAGCAAACGGG
Molecule: ribosomal RNA, 253 nt
Filed under: uncultured bacterium
Lineage: Bacteria
Description: partial 16S ribosomal RNA
Rfam family: Bacterial small subunit ribosomal RNA
Source: RNAcentral